RNAcentral lists this ribosomal RNA (460 nucleotides) under uncultured bacterium. RNAcentral's name for it is "partial 16S ribosomal RNA". It matches the Rfam family "Bacterial small subunit ribosomal RNA", at positions 338 to 795 of the family's 1533-position model. The record is from RNAcentral.
CCUACGGGUGGCAGCAGUGAGGAAUAUUGGUCAAUGGACGAGAGUCUGAACCAGCCAAGUAGCGUGAAGGAUGACUGCCCUAUGGGUUGUAAACUUCUUUUAUAAAGGAAUAAAACGAGGCACGUGUGCGUUUUUGCAUGUACUUUAUGAAUAAGGAUCGGCUAACUCCGUGCCAGCAGCCGCGGUAAUACGGAGGAUCCGAGCGUUAUCCGGAUUUAUUGGGUUUAAAGGGAGCGUAGGUGGGUUGUUAAGUCAGUUGUGAAAGUUUGCGGCUCAACCGUAAAAUUGCAAUUGAUACUGGCAGCCUUGAGUGCAGUUGAGGUAGGCGGAAUGCGUGGUGUAGCGGUGAAAUGCUUAGAUAUCACGAAGAACCCCGAUUGCGAAGGCAGCUUACUAAGCUGUGACUGACAUUGAUGCUCGAAAGUGUGGGUAUCAAACAGGAUUAGAUACCCGGGUAGUC